GGAUUCCGCGCUGAGCCAGGGAAUGGCUUAAGGAAGGCGGGAGACCACCGUUGGGGAAGGCAACCCCCUGGGUUAACAUUGACGGUAAGGAACGAAAGGGUGGGGGCCAACCAGGAUUAGUUACCCUGGUAUUCCACGCCCUAAACCAUGUCAAAUGGGUGUUCGGGAAGCGAUUUUGGGUACCGUAGUUAAGGCGUGAAAUGACCGGCUUGGGGAGUACGCCCGCAAGGUUAAACUUCAAAGGAUUGACGGGGACCCGCACAAGCGGUGGAUGAUGUGGAUUAAUUCGAUGCAACGCGAACAACCUUACNUACCCUGNACAUGUCCGAGAGCCUGCUGAGAGGCGGGUGUGCCCGAAAGGGAAUCGGAACACAGGUGCUGCAUGGCUGUCGUCAGCUCGUGUCGUGAGAUGUUGGGUUAAGUCCCGCAACGAGCGCAACCCUUGUCCCUAGUUGCUACGCAAGGGCACUCUAGGGAGACUGCCGGUGACAAACCGGAGGAAGGUGGGGAUGACGUCAAGUCCUCAUGGCCCUUAUGGGUAGGGCUUCACACGUCAUACAAUGGCCGGUACAGAGGGUUGCCAAAGCGCGAGCUGGAGCCAAUCCCCAUAAAAGCCGGUCGUAGUCCGGAUUGCAGUCUGCAACUCGACUGCAUGAAGUCGGAAUCGCUAGUAAUCGCGGAUCAGCAUGUCGCGGUGAAUACGUUCCCGGGCCUUGUACACACCGCCCGUCACACCACGAAAGUUUGUUGUACCUGAAGUCGUUGACGCCAACCGCAAGGAGGCAGACGCCCACGGUAUGACCGAUGAUUGGGGUGAAGUCGUAACAAGGUAAAUCGAAUUCCCGCGGCC
RNAcentral lists this ribosomal RNA (850 nucleotides) under uncultured Pseudomonadota bacterium. RNAcentral's name for it is "bacterial SSU rRNA". It matches the Rfam family "Bacterial small subunit ribosomal RNA", at positions 664 to 1533 of the family's 1533-position model. The record is from RNAcentral. Lineage: Bacteria; Pseudomonadati; Pseudomonadota.